GACGAACGCUGGCGGCGUGCUUAACACAUGCAAGUCGAACGCUGAAGCCUGGCUUUUGUUGGGUGGAUGAGUGGCGAACGGGUGAGUAACACGUGAGUAACCUGCCCCCUUCUUUGGGAUAACGCCCGGAAACGGGUGCUAAUACUGGAUAUUCACUGGUCUUCGCAUGGGGGUUGGUGGAAAGGGUUUUCUGGUGGGGGAUGGGCUCGCGGCCUAUCAGCUUGUUGGUGGGGUGAUGGCCUACCAAGGCUUUGACGGGUAGCCGGCCUGAGAGGGUGACCGGUCACAUUGGGACUGAGAUACGGCCCAGACUCCUACGGGAGGCAGCAGUGGGGAAUAUUGCACAAUGGGCGCAAGCCUGAUGCAGCGACGCCGCGUGAGGGAUGGAGGCCUUCGGGUUGUGAACCUCUUUCGCUCAUGGUCAAGCCGCAACUGUGGGUUGUGG
This 445-nucleotide ribosomal RNA is filed under the name Actinomyces sp. oral taxon 180. RNAcentral's name for it is "bacterial SSU rRNA". It matches the Rfam family "Bacterial small subunit ribosomal RNA", at positions 28 to 481 of the family's 1533-position model. The record is from RNAcentral. Lineage: Bacteria; Bacillati; Actinomycetota; Actinomycetes; Actinomycetales; Actinomycetaceae.